CAGGACCAGAGCAAUGAAGUUGGUCAACCAUGGACUGAAACUCUGAAAUUUCUCAAAUGUCAAGAAGAGGAGCCUGUCCACCAGUUCCCUUGACCAGAACAAAGAAAUGUUCUCAAAUGUCAAGAAGAGGAGCCUGUCCACCAGUUCCCUUGACCAGAACCCCAGGCAUUGUACUCUCCUCCAAGGCAUCCUUGCUCCACCUUCAUUCGUCACUAAAACAGCAACAGUGAUGACAACCUCCAUUUUUCUCCUGUCAUCUCACCACCAACCUCACUCAAGUAAUUCUUCCACCAAUUCAGCCCCAUACCAUUCCUAUUUCCAUUUCCUCCUGGGAAAUCUUCCUCCAUCACACCACCACAUGGUUCAGGAAAAAAAAUCUCUAUCUUGGGUAUCAAGACAAAUAAAAACAUUUUGAACAGAC
This is a long non-coding RNA of Sciurus carolinensis (gray squirrel), 421 nucleotides long. RefSeq lists it as uncharacterized. Lineage: Eukaryota; Metazoa; Chordata; Mammalia; Rodentia; Sciuridae. The transcript has 4 exons. The record is from RefSeq and is a predicted model, not a curated record.